RNAcentral lists this ribosomal RNA (254 nucleotides) under uncultured bacterium. RNAcentral describes it as "partial 16S ribosomal RNA". It matches the Rfam family "Bacterial small subunit ribosomal RNA", at positions 524 to 776 of the family's 1533-position model. The record is from RNAcentral.
UACGUAGGGUGCGAGCGUUGUCCGGAAUUACUGGGCGUAAAGAGCUCGUAGGCGGUGUGUCGCGUCGGCCGUGAAAACCUGGGGCUUAACUCUGGGCGUGCGGUCGAUACGGGCAUCACUAGAGUUCGGCAGGGGAGACUGGAAUUCCUGGUGUAGCGGUGAAAUGCGCAGAUAUCAGGAGGAACACCGGUGGCGAAGGCGGGUCUCUGGGCCGAUACUGACGCUGAGGAGCGAAAGCAUGGGUAGCGAACAGG